Molecule: non-coding RNA, 385 nt
Organism: Mus caroli (Ryukyu mouse)
Lineage: Eukaryota; Metazoa; Chordata; Mammalia; Rodentia; Muridae
Source: RefSeq, a predicted model, not a curated record
AGUUCUGGACCUGGCAGGGGCUUGUUAUGGUGACAAGAGGCAGGGAAGCAAGGUACAGACGUAGAAGGCAGACUGCAGGAAAGGGGUGAAGUAAAGGCGAGAUUCAGGUGACUGUUCUAAAAGAUCUCUUUUUUAUGAUACUGAAGCCAUGCCCUGGAGGAGCAAGCUUGAGAUGAGUCCUCUGGGAAGAGAGAACCUCAAAUGAGAAAUGCAAAUGCCCCUUCAGACUGGCCUCCAGGGGUCACAGUUCAGAGAUUGUUCUGAGUCUGAGAAGAGACACUGAAUUUCUUAACAAUGUUGGGACUGUUAAAAGACUGUAGGGACCUGGAAAGAUGGAUCAAAUGCAUUUUACAUUAUGGAAUAAUAAUAAAAAAAGCUUUAGAGA